AACGUGUUUUUCUUUACAAACAUGUUAUAUUAAAAAAUAAAAGAGUGUUUUACAUGAAUUAUUUCACGGCAUCUCGUAUCUGACUUCAUCUAUCAGAUAAUAUGCUGCGCAUAGAUUUAAAAAACUUAAAACAAAAUUGUCUAAAAAAAGUUAACACUUUUACAAGACAUCAACAUACAAAUCUUAACAGAAGAGUUGAUGUAUCUUUAUUGGAAAAUAUUGUUUUUUUUAACUAUAUAUCAAAAGGUUGUUUGUGUCAGGUUGUUCGAAAAAAGGAGAACCAUUUUGCUCUCAGAGUGUUUUUCAAGUUAGAGGUUAGGCAAACAUUUCUUAUUUUAUAAAAUUUAUGUAUGAAAGAACAAUGUUUGUGAAGAAAUCUAAAACAUGCAAAACUAAAAAAUGCGAUUUUAAAAAAUAGGUAUUUUUUUUCCUUUAUGUAAUAAAGCAGUAAAUAAACCACACAAACCAACUUUGGAAUUAACAUCUCAAGGUCAACAUCAAGUUUAAAAAAAUGUUGACAGUUGUUUAUAAAAUUUCGUUAGCAAUACACAGUCCUCUUUUACCAAAAUGCAUAACGUGUAUUAGGACGAGAAUCUUAAUCAAAGAAAUGCUAUAUUAUAGACGUGUGUCACAAUGACCAAUGAUUCACAUCAUUCUCAAUAACAAAUAUAAUACGAGUGGCUUGAUACAUGUAUUGUAUGGAUUUUUUUCAAUAUUGAUAUCACUAAAGCAUAAUAGUUUAAACCAAAAAAUAUAUAUUUCUAAAAGAUUCUAAGCAAUUUGCAGCUUCUAUAAUAAGCUUGAAAUCAGGCUUUUAACGGGAGGAAAUUCAGUAAGACAUAUCCCAUUGAUCUCAAUGCAAAUCUGUGAUUUAAAUUCAUAAAAAUGUAUAUCUGGAAUACCUUUAGAAAUUAGAAUUGUUCACGUAUAAUUCAUCAAAGAACAAAUAUAACCCUUUUGCUACAAUACAAACAUAAGAGUCACGCGGCAUAUUUUGCCAUUCAUAUGACCAUUUUAACAAAUAAUGUUGAUUCGCACAUAAUUCCUAUACUGACCCCAUAACUGUUCAACCCUUUAACACAAAUAAUUGCUUUUUAAAGUAUUCAUUUUUUUCUCUAGUUUUAGUCGAUCUAUCAAACAAUAUCUAUUACAAAAAUUAAAUAUCAAUCAAUAUAAUGACUUCAGGGCUAUACAGAAAGCUCUCCCCUAAAUGGACGGUUUCUGAUGGCGUAUAAUUAUUUACUGAAUUUACCCCUUUUGACUCCCAUACUUAAAUAUAAUUGUUUACUUUGAAAUCAGUUUUUCUCUGGCGGAAAGUUGUCAUAUUGGUAAUCACACCAUAUCUCCUAUUAGUAUAAUAUUCAAAUGAUUUCAACAAUACAAGUAGAAAUUUUCAUAAAAAUGGUAGGGUUACAAGAUAAAGCUACAUAUUUGCACAAAACACAUAUAAGGUAUGUUAUCAACAAUUAUGAUCUCAUUACAAACGUGCAUGCAUUUCUUGAGAAA
Molecule: long non-coding RNA, 1506 nt
Filed under: Mytilus galloprovincialis (Mediterranean mussel)
Lineage: Eukaryota; Metazoa; Mollusca; Bivalvia; Mytilida; Mytilidae
Source: RNAcentral